ACGAAGGGGGCUAGCGUUGCUCGGAAUUACUGGGCGUAAAGGGCGCGUAGGCGGUCAUUUUAGUCAGGCGUGAAAUUCCCGGGCUUAACCUGGGGACUGCGCUUGAUACUGGGUGACUAGAGGGUGGAAGAGGGUCGUGGAAUUCCCAGUGUAGAGGUGAAAUUCGUAGAUAUUGGGAAGAACACCGGUGGCGAAGGCGGCGACCUGGUCCAUUACUGACGCUGAGGCGCGACAGCGUGGGGAGCAAACAGG
This 252-nucleotide ribosomal RNA is filed under the name uncultured bacterium. Its description in RNAcentral is "partial 16S ribosomal RNA". It matches the Rfam family "Bacterial small subunit ribosomal RNA", at positions 525 to 776 of the family's 1533-position model. The record is from RNAcentral.